Long non-coding RNA from Bos taurus (domestic cattle), 300 nucleotides. The record is from Ensembl. NCBI's taxonomy places the organism in Eukaryota, Metazoa, Chordata, Mammalia, Artiodactyla, Bovidae.
GGCCAGCUCCGAGGUGGGCAGAGCGCAGAGCUGUACCUGGGCCGCCCAUGCGCCGGGCCCAGGCCCAGACCCGGCCACCCUCCAGGGCUUGUGUACCAGAGCUGGCGCUCCCUGGAAACCACUCGAGGAAGAGCUAGAGAGGGUGGAGCAGGGGACGGGAUGGGCCCCCAGACUGGUGCCCACCUGCAACCUCAGACAUGACCUGACUUGCAAGAGGAGGAGGGAACACAGAGGAGAGGGGCCAUGUGAAGACGGAGGCAACGACUGGGGGGAUGUGGCCACAGCUGAGGAACCACCAGC